Molecule: ribosomal RNA, 711 nt
Filed under: Staphylococcus aureus
Lineage: Bacteria; Bacillati; Bacillota; Bacilli; Caryophanales; Staphylococcaceae
Description: partial 23S ribosomal RNA
Rfam family: Bacterial large subunit ribosomal RNA
Source: RNAcentral
CAUCUCCUAAGGCUAAAUACUCUCUAGUGACCGAUAGUGAACCAGUACCGUGAGGGAAAGGUGAAAAGCACCCCGGAAGGGGAGUGAAAUAGAACCUGAAACCGUGUGCUUACAAGUAGUCAGAGCCCGUUAAUGGGUGAUGGCGUGCCUUUUGUAGAAUGAACCGGCGAGUUACGAUUUGAUGCAAGGUUAAGCAGUAAAUGUGGAGCCGUAGCGAAAGCGAGUCUGAAUAGGGCGUUUAGUAUUUGGUCGUAGACCCGAAACCAGGUGAUCUACCCUUGGUCAGGUUGAAGUUCAGGUAACACUGAAUGGAGGACCGAACCGACUUACGUUGAAAAGUGAGCGGAUGAACUGAGGGUAGCGGAGAAAUUCCAAUCGAACCUGGAGAUAGCUGGUUCUCUCCGAAAUAGCUUUAGGGCUAGCCUCAAGUGAUGAUUAUUGGAGGUAGAGCACUGUUUGGACGAGGGGCCCCUCUCGGGUUACCGAAUUCAGACAAACUCCGAAUGCCAAUUAAUUUAACUUGGGAGUCAGAACAUGGGUGAUAAGGUCCGUGUUCGAAAGGGAAACAGCCCAGACCACCAGCUAAGGUCCCAAAAUAUAUGUUAAGUGGAAAAGGAUGUGGCGUUGCCCAGACAACUAGGAUGUUGGCUUAGAAGCAGCCAUCAUUUAAAGAGUGCGUAAUAGCUCACUAGUCGAGUGACACUGCGCCGA